RNAcentral lists this long non-coding RNA (491 nucleotides) under Drosophila guanche. Lineage: Eukaryota; Metazoa; Arthropoda; Insecta; Diptera; Drosophilidae. The record is from RNAcentral.
GCUCAAACUGGGGGAAGGAUGUGCCCGACACGGGCACGGAAACAGUCAGCGAAGGGACGGCCGGCAGGGUCAGAGGCCGCAUGUUCUACACAUGCCAAGCGUCAGGCAGACAGCUGGAAGAUGGGAAUGGGGAUGGGGAUGGGGAUGAGGAUGAAGACUGCUGGCUGCUCUCUCUAUCCCUCUCUCUCUCUCUCUCUCUCUCUCUCUCUCUGUCUCAGAGCAUUCAUUGAUUUUGCGAGACUUUUUGUUGUUGUUGCUAUUUUGCCUUUGCCAUUGCCAUUUCCUGUGCUGUGCUAAACCAAUAACCGAGCAACUUUUGACAUGUCCUGUGCCUGUGCCUGUGCCUCUGAAUUGCGUCCUAAUUGUGCCACUCAGUGUGUGUGUCUGCCUCUAUCUUUAUCCCAAACUCAUCUCUGGUUAACCCGAGUGUCAACGAAUUCGAACGCUUGGGUUGAUGCCUCUGCAAGCCACUGGCAAUCAAUCAAUCAAUC